AGAUUAAGUUAUUAAGGGCGCACGGUGGAUGCCUUGGCACUAGAAGCCGAAGAAGGACGUUACUAACGACGAUAUGCUUUGGGGAGCUGUAAGUAAGCGUUGAUCCAGAGAUUUCCGAAUGGGGAAACCCAACAUGAGUUAUGUCAUGUUAUCGAUAUGUGAAUACAUAGCAUAUCAGAAGGCAGACCCGGAGAACUGAAACAUCUUAGUACCCGGAGGAAGAGAAAGAAAAAUCGAUUCCCUGAGUAGCGGCGAGCGAAACGGGAAGAGCCCAAACCAACAAGCUUGCUUGUUGGGGUUGUAGGACACUCUAUACGGAGUUACAAAAGUAUAUAUUAGACGAAUCAUCUGGAAAGUUGAAUCAAAGAAGGUAAUAAUCCUGUAGUCGAAAAUAUAUACUCUCUUGAGUGGAUCCUGAGUACGACGGAGCACGUGAAAUUCCGUCGGAAUCUGGGAGGACCAUCUCCUAAGGCUAAAUACUCUCUAGUGACCGAUAGUGAACCAGUACCGUGAGGGAAAGGUGAAAAGUACCCCGGAAGGGGAGUGAAAGAGAACUUGAAACCGUGUGCUUACAAGUAGUCAGAGCCCGUUAAUGGGUGAUGGCGUGCCUUUUGUAGAAUGAACCGGCGAGUUACGAUUUGAUGCAAGGUUAAGCAGUGAAUGUGGAGCCGUAGCGAAAGCGAGUCUGAAUAGGGCGUUGAGUAUUUGGUCGUAGACCCGAAACCAGGUGAUCUACCCUUGGUCAGGUUGAAGUUCAGGUAACACUGAAUGGAGGACCGAACCGACUUACGUUGAAAAGUGAGCGGAUGAACUGAGGGUAGCGGAGAAAUUCCAAUCGAACCUGGAGAUAGCUGGUUCUCUCCGAAAUAGCUUUAGGGCUAGCCUCAAGUGAUGAUUAUUGGAGGUAGAGCACUGUUUGGACGAGGGGCCCUUCUCGGGUUACCGAAUUCAGACAAACUCCGAAUGCCAAUCAAUUUAACUUGGGAGUCAGAACAUGGGUGAUAAGGUCCGUGUUCGAAAGGGAAACAGCCCAGACCACCAGCUAAGGUCCCAAAAUAUAUGUUAAGUGGAAAAGGAUGUGGCGUUGCCCAGACAACUAGGAUGUUGGCUUAGAAGCAGCCAUCAUUUAAAGAGUGCGUAAUAGCUCACUAGUCGAGUGACACUGCGCCGAAAAUGUACCGGGGCUAAACAUAUUACCGAAGCUGUGGAUUGUCCGUAGGACAAUGGUAGGAGAGCGUUCUAAGGGCGUUGAAGCAUGAUCGCAAGGACAUGUGGAGCGCUUAGAAGUGAGAAUGCCGGUGUGAGUAGCGAAAGACGGGUGAGAAUCCCGUCCACCGAUUGACUAAGGUUUCCAGAGGAAGGCUCGUCCGCUCUGGGUUAGUCGGGUCCUAAGCUGAGGCCGACAGGCGUAGGCGAUGGAUAACAGGUUGAUAUUCCUGUACCACCUAGUAUCGUUUUAAUCGAUGGGGGGACGCAGUAGGAUAGGCGAAGCGUGCUAUUGGAUUGCACGUCCAAGCAGUAAGACUGAGUGUUAGGCAAAUCCGGCACUCAUAAGGUUAAGCUGUGAUGGGGAGAGGAAAUUGUUUCCUCGAGUCGUUGAUUUCACACUGCCAAGAAAAGCCUCUAGAUAGAUAACAGGUGCCCGUACCGCAAACCGACACAGGUAGUCAAGAUGAGAAUUUUAAGGUGAGCGAGCGAACUCUCGUUAAGGAACUCGGCAAAAUGACCCCGUAACUUCGGGAGAAGGGGUGCUCUUUAGGGUUAACGCCCAGAAGAGCCGCAGUGAAUAGGCCCAAGCGACUGUUUAUCAAAAACACAGGUCUCUGCUAAACCGUAAGGUGAUGUAUAGGGGCUGACGCCUGCCCGGUGCUGGAAGGUUAAGAGGAGUAGUUAGCUUCUGCGAAGCUACGAAUCGAAGCCCCAGUAAACGGCGGCCGUAACUAUAACGGUCCUAAGGUAGCGAAAUUCCUUGUCGGGUAAGUUCCGACCCGCACGAAAGGCGUAACGAUUUGGGCACUGUCUCAACGAGAGACUCGGUGAAAUCAUAGUACCUGUGAAGAUGCAGGUUACCCGCGACAGGACGGAAAGACCCCGUGGAGCUUUACUGUAGCCUGAUAUUGAAAUUCGGCACAGCUUGUACAGGAUAGGUAGGAGCCUUUGAAACGUGAGCGCUAGCUUACGUGGAGGCAUUGGUGGGAUACUACCCUAGCUGUGUUGGCUUUCUAACCCGCACCACUUAUCGUGGUGGGAGACAGUGUCAGGUGGGCAGUUUGACUGGGGCGGUCGCCUCCUAAAAGGUAACGGAGGCGCUCAAAGGUUCCCUCAGAAUGGUUGGAAAUCAUUCAUAGAGUGUAAAGGCAUAAGGGAGCUUGACUGCGAGACUUACAAGUCGAGCAGGGUCGAAAGACGGACUUAGUGAUCCGGUGGUUCCGCAUGGAAGGGCCAUCGCUCAACGGAUAAAAGCUACCCCGGGGAUAACAGGCUUAUCUCCCCCAAGAGUUCACAUCGACGGGGAGGUUUGGCACCUCGAUGUCGGCUCAUCGCAUCCUGGGGCUGUAGUCGGUCCCAAGGGUUGGGCUGUUCGCCCAUUAAAGCGGUACGCGAGCUGGGUUCAGAACGUCGUGAGACAGUUCGGUCCCUAUCCGUCGUGGGCGUAGGAAAUUUGAGAGGAGCUGUCCUUAGUACGAGAGGACCGGGAUGGACAUACCUCUGGUGUACCAGUUGUCGUGCCAACGGCAUAGCUGGGUAGCUAUGUAUGGACGGGAUAAGUGCUGAAAGCAUCUAAGCAUGAAGCCCCCCUCAAGAUGAGAUUUCCCAACUUCGGUUAUAAGAUCCCUCAAAGAUGAUGAGGUUAAUAGGUUCGAGGUGGAAGCGUGGUGACACGUGGAGCUGACGAAUACUAAUCGAUCGAAGACUUAAUCAAUUU
Molecule: ribosomal RNA, 2926 nt
Filed under: Staphylococcus pasteuri
Lineage: Bacteria; Bacillati; Bacillota; Bacilli; Caryophanales; Staphylococcaceae
Description: bacterial LSU rRNA
Rfam family: Bacterial large subunit ribosomal RNA
Source: RNAcentral